UGAACUAAUCAAUUAUCUUUCCGGCUCAGACGGCAUAGGGUAAGCGUAUGGGGCUGUCAUGUGAUGAACGAGUGACUCGGAAAAACCCGAAGACUCAAGAGAUUAACUAAUCAAUUCUCUUUCCGGCUC
Long non-coding RNA from Sinocyclocheilus rhinocerous, 129 nucleotides. RefSeq lists it as uncharacterized. Lineage: Eukaryota; Metazoa; Chordata; Actinopteri; Cypriniformes; Cyprinidae. The record is from RefSeq and is a predicted model, not a curated record. The transcript has 3 exons.